UUAGAUGCAGGAAAAACCCUUAUUUUCCUAACAUAACUGGCAGUCUCUAAGACUGAAAAUCGCAAGCAACCGACGUGCUUAAAAGUUGUGGCAUAGUUUUAUAUAAUAAAGCUAUACGAAGAUCGCACUUGUUAGAUGAAGAAUAGUUUUAAUAGCUACUCGUUCAUAAAAGCAUAAUACCAUAAUAAUUGUAUAUCCGAUGAGUUUUAUAACCAUACUAAACAUAAUAUGCCUGUAGCGACGUUCUUCAGGCGUCGUAGCGUUAUGACAACUGUCACCCCAAAAGACGGACUGUAGCUAACAGUCAGGGCGCGGGAUCAUGACUUCCCGUAUAGAUCUAUACACAUUUGACACGUUCUCCGAACGGGAGACUCUGGUUAUAGACAGGACUUGUAGCAAUACCUUUUAUCAAAAAGGCAGUGUUUGAAGAUGUACACGUCUCAUGGAUUCUCAACUAAGUCUGUAUUAAAGUAGUAGUUUUGUAUGCAAAGUUUAUCCUUUUUCACAAUGUUUGACAAAGCAUAAAUCAUAAGUUUUUAGAAUGUAUAAAACGGUUUAGCAACGAAGAAUACUUUGGAAUUUCUAAAUACUUUGUAUGAAUCUAGUGCAUGCGAAGUAUGACAAGAGUUUUCACAUAGUAGUACUAAAUCACAAGUGAUUCAUUUGAUAAAAACGAGUAAAGUGAAAUUUUAGAUGUAGAAGACAAGUUUGUAAACAAAACAUAUAUAUGUAUAUGGUUAUAUAUAUGUAUAAGUUUUAAAANGUUCUCACACUCCUCUUGAUAGGGUAAGGUUUAUUGAUGGUAUCUCCCGAACUUCUUUCUCCAUCUGGUCCCUUCUCGGAAAUCUUCUUCCUCGUAUUUCAUCUAUUGGUACUCUUCGAAAUCUUCUUCUGGAUCCUUCUUGAUCCAUCUAUUGGCUUCGGUGGCAGGAUAGUAGGGGUCUAUGUGGAGAUGAAGUCUAGCUGAUAUGCCUAUGCGAGAAUAGGGGUAAGAAGCAUAUGAAGAAUCUAAGUGUGUGGUUCUAUUGUAACGCAAAAUACUCCUAUAGUAUUUUAAAUUUGUAUGUUAAAGUUUUCUUUGUAUAGUUUGUUGGUAAGUUUUAAAUUUGUUGUCCACUGCAGACACUCCUCGGCACACGUUAGUCGGCUCUCGGACAAAUAUAGUUGAUCAGGCUAUAUCCUUCCCAGUUCCGAUUACAUGUCCCAAGGCGUACCUGCACUGCACAACUUAUUUAUAAUACUUCUAAAAUGGUCCGAUGUGAAACUGUUAUUAGUACGAAAUGAAUGCAUGCUUACUUUACAAAAACUAAAUAAAUUUAAUUUCAAAAGUAUGACUCUUCUCAGAGUGUUUUUGCCCAGUUGAGUUUAUAGUUGUAUACCAAAAAUGGUUUUGAUAUACUUAAUUCACUAUAAACAAUGCUCUGAUACCAAUCUGUCACACCCCCAAACCAGAACGGCGGAAACGUUCGGGGGCGGAGGACGUCAUAUUCAGUAUCAUAACAGUUCAUAGAAAGGAAAGUACACACCACCAUACAUAUUAAGGUUUCCAAAAUGUUUACAUAAUUGUAUUCGUUACAUGUUCAAAAGAUAAAUACAUAAACAUCUUUUAAAAGAAGUAAUUAACGUCAGCACGUUAAUCCUCAAAAGUUGAUUUCCAAACCUGCUUAGCGAUUCCCUGAGAAUAGAAGUUAUUUCAAAGAAAAAGUGUCAACAAUUAAGUUGGUGAGUUCAUAAGUAGUGUUUUGAGAAAAUAUGCGCCAUUCGAAAGUUCAUGUAUGUUUUCCAGAAAACGCGGUAUUUUCAAAUGAAAAGAGUUAUGAUUCGUUGGGUUGAAAAUGAAUGUAUUAGAUCCAGAAAAUCCCAUAUUUUCCCUAAUAGUUGAGAUAUGAUUUGUUGUGCUUUCCAAGAAAAACCCUUAUUUUCUUAUAAAAGUAUGAAAUGCAUAUGAAUGUUCGUGUUAUAAGUUGUAAAUAGUUGCACCAAGAAAAUCCCUUAUUUUCCUAUUAGUUGUUUGAUUUAGAAGCAAGAAAAACCCUUACUUUCCUAACAUAACUGGCAGUCUCUAAGAACGAAAAUCGCAAGCAACCGACGUGCUUAGAAGUUGUUGCAUAGUUUUAUAUAAUAAAGCUAUACGAAGAUCACACUUGUUAGAUGAAGAAUACUUUUAAUAGCUACUCAUUCAUAAAAGCAUAAUACCAUAAUAGUUGUAUAUCCGAUGUGUUUUAUAACCAUACUAAACAUAAUAUGCCUGUAGCGACGUUCUUCAGGCGUCGUAGCGUUAUGACAACUGCACCCCAAAAG
This 2301-nucleotide long non-coding RNA is filed under the name Lactuca sativa (garden lettuce). Its description in RNAcentral is "long non-coding RNA (LSAT_LNC007311)". Lineage: Eukaryota; Viridiplantae; Streptophyta; Magnoliopsida; Asterales; Asteraceae. The record is from RNAcentral.